Molecule: ribosomal RNA, 208 nt
Filed under: uncultured bacterium
Lineage: Bacteria
Description: partial 16S ribosomal RNA
Rfam family: Bacterial small subunit ribosomal RNA
Source: RNAcentral
CGUGUAGGCGGUCAUGCCAGUCAGGGGUGAAAUGCAUCGGCUUAACCGAUUGAAAUGCCUUUGAAACUGCAUGACUUGAGUACGGGAGAGGAGAGCGGAAUUCCUGGUGUAGCGGUGAAAUGCGUAGAUAUCAGGAAGAACAUCCGUGGCGAAGGCGGCUCUCUGGCCCAGUACUGACGCUGAGGCGCGAAAGCCAGGGGAGCGAACG